UACGUAGGGUGCAAGCGUUAAUCGGAAUUACUGGGCGUAAAGCGUGCGCAGGCGGUGAUGUAAGACAGGUGUGAAAUCCCCGGGCUUAACCUGGGAACUGCAUUUGUGACUGCAUCGCUGGAGUGCGGCAGAGGGGGAUGGAAUUCCGCGUGUAGCAGUGAAAUGCGUAGAUAUGCGGAGGAACACCGAUGGCGAAGGCAGCCCCCUGGGUCAAGAUUGACGCUCAUGCACGAAAGCGUGGGGAGCAAACAGG
Molecule: ribosomal RNA, 253 nt
Filed under: uncultured bacterium
Lineage: Bacteria
Description: partial 16S ribosomal RNA
Rfam family: Bacterial small subunit ribosomal RNA
Source: RNAcentral